AACGAACGCUGGCGGCGCGCCUAAUACAUGCAAGUCGAGCGAGAAGGUGUAGCAAUACACUUGUAAAGCGGCGAACGGGUGAGGAAUACAUGGGUAAUCUACCAUCGAGUGGGGAAUAACCAGCCGAAAGGUUGGCUAAUACCGCGUACGCCUCCGAAUCUUCGGGUUCGGAGGGAAAGCCGCACUGUGAGUGCGGCGCUCUUUGAUGAGCUCAUGUCCUAUCAGCUUGUUGGUAGGGUAACGGCCUACCAAGGCUUUGACGGGUAGCUGGUCUGAGAGGACGAUCAGCCACACUGGCACUGCGACACGGGCCAGACUCCUACGGGAGGCAGCAGUAAGGAAUAUUGCGCAAUGGGCGAAAGCCUGACGCAGCGACGCCGCG
This 382-nucleotide ribosomal RNA is filed under the name uncultured bacterium. RNAcentral's name for it is "bacterial SSU rRNA". It matches the Rfam family "Bacterial small subunit ribosomal RNA", at positions 29 to 401 of the family's 1533-position model. The record is from RNAcentral.